AGAAAUCCGAUUACAGAGGCAAGAGAAUAUUAUAUGGAUGCUGAUGAUAUUGAAGGGACCCUGUGGCAGUUACCCCGACAUCUGGUUGCUGAAAGAGCUAGACUGCAGUGUCUGAAGAAAUGUCAUGAGAACUACUUACAGACUUUGAAAGCUAUUCCUAGAACUUUGAGGAUUAUGUGACAUGGGAUGCACCCCAAGUUCCGUGAGACUGGAAGGACUCUGUAAAGAUAAUUAAAGACCAUUUACUGCCGAAACAAAAAGCUAGAGGAGAAAGUUUUGAAGUUUAAGCAUGCAAUUUAAAUUGAUUUCUUGUAUCAAUAACUUAAACCCUUUUGCACCAUUAUAUAUAUUUAGAGAGCUCUCAUUCUCAUGCAUAUGAACUUGAUGGCUUUAUUUGAAUUCUGAAUCUAGAGAAAUCACAACUAGAAGCAUCAUCUCAUCAAAGGUUAUUCAUAUGGAUUA
Non-coding RNA from Prunus mume (Japanese apricot), 462 nucleotides. NCBI's taxonomy places the organism in Eukaryota, Viridiplantae, Streptophyta, Magnoliopsida, Rosales, Rosaceae. The record is from RefSeq and is a predicted model, not a curated record.